AACGAACGCUGGCGGCAGGCCUAACACAUGCAAGUCGAACGGGGACUUCGGUUCUAGCUGCGGACGGGUGAGUAACGUGGGGGAAGGUUCCGUUCUCUAUGGGAUAGCCCUGGGUAACUGGGGGUAAUACAGGAUAAGCUCCAGUUGGGACAGAUUUAUCGUAGCAGGAUCAGCCCGCGUUGGAUUAGGUAGUUGGUGGGGUAAUGGCCUACCAAGGCGACGAUCCAUAGCUGGUUUGAGAGGAUGAGCAGCCACACUGGGACUGAGACACGGCCCAGACUCCUACGGGAGGCAGCAGUGGGGAAUCUUAGACAAUGGGGGCAACCCUGAACGAGCCAUGCCGCGUGAGUGAUGAAGGCCUUAGGGUUGUAAAGCUCUUUCAGCUGGGAAGAUAAUGACGGUACCCGCAGAAGAAGCCCCGGCUAACUCCGUG
This 433-nucleotide ribosomal RNA is filed under the name uncultured bacterium. RNAcentral's name for it is "partial 16S ribosomal RNA". It matches the Rfam family "Bacterial small subunit ribosomal RNA", at positions 29 to 507 of the family's 1533-position model. The record is from RNAcentral.